RNAcentral lists this microRNA (22 nucleotides) under Gallus gallus (chicken). RNAcentral describes it as "gga-miR-1784b-3p". Lineage: Eukaryota; Metazoa; Chordata; Aves; Galliformes; Phasianidae. The record is from miRBase by way of RNAcentral.
UGAUUUCAAUAAGAGCAGAAUU